GGUGGGGUUCCCGAGUGGCUAAAGGGAUCAGACUGUAAAUCUGACGCGCAAGCUUCGGUGGUUCGAAUCCACCCCCCACCACCA
RNAcentral lists this transfer RNA (84 nucleotides) under Neptunomonas antarctica. It matches the Rfam family "tRNA". Rfam says of the family: Transfer RNA (tRNA) molecules are approximately 80 nucleotides in length. Lineage: Bacteria; Pseudomonadati; Pseudomonadota; Gammaproteobacteria; Oceanospirillales; Oceanospirillaceae. The record is from RNAcentral. RNAcentral also lists the same sequence under 7 other names.